ACGUAGGGUGCAAGCGUUAAUCGGAAUUACUGGGCGUAAAGUGUGCGCAGGCGGCCGAGCAAGUCGAGUGUGAAAGCCCCGAGCUUAACUUGGGAAUUGCGCUCGAAACUACUUGGCUGGAGUGUGGCAGAGGAAGGUGGAAUUCCAGGUGUAGCGGUGAAAUGCGUAGAGAUCUGGAGGAACACCGAUAGCGAAGGCAGCCUUCUGGGCCAACACUGACGCUCAUGCACGAAAGCGUGGGGAGCAAACAGGA
This 253-nucleotide ribosomal RNA is filed under the name uncultured prokaryote. RNAcentral's name for it is "partial 16S ribosomal RNA". It matches the Rfam family "Bacterial small subunit ribosomal RNA", at positions 525 to 777 of the family's 1533-position model. The record is from RNAcentral.